CAUCUGACUCUUGGUUUUUGCACAGGUCAUGAUCUCAGGGUUGUGGGACUGAGUCCCACGUGGAGCUCUGUUCAGCAGGGAGUUUGCUUGGGAUUCGCUCCUUCUGCCUCUCUCCCCACUUGCAUGUUUUCUCUCUCUCUGAAUAAAUAAAAUCUUAAAAAAAAAAAGGACAGACUCUGUUUAUGCAUGAACACGGAUGGAUCUCAGACUAGACACAAAAGAGUGCACACUCUGUGGUUCCAUAUAUGUGAAGUUCUAGAACAGGAAAAACCAAAUCAUGGUGAUAAGAAUCAAAAUAGUGGUUCCUGGUGAGGACUGAUUAGAAAGGGGCAUGAAGGAAUUUCCUGGGGUGCUGAAAAUUUUCACUUCUUGAUUUGUGGUUUACAUGGUGUGUGUGUCAGACUCCUUGAACUGUACACUUAAGAUCCAUAUCACUCUAUGUAAAUUAUACCUCAAUGAAAGAUCCUAAUACAAAGAAAAAAAAAAAAAAAAACCCAGUAGAGAUGGCACUCUCCCAGUACUUUCCUGCCAAGCAGAGGAAGCUUCUGUCCUGAAUUUAACAUAUCUAUGCACUUUAAUAUUUUUAUUACAUAUGCAUAUAUCCUUAAGGGGUGCUAUUAUUUUGCAUGUCUUUAAACUUUAUAUGUAUAUAUAUCACAACAUAUAUACACACACAUAUGAUUUUUGGCUCAACGUUGUAUAUGAGAUUUAUCCAUCUGAUAUCAGUAGCUCAUUGUGCAUUUUUAGAACUAAGUAUAUUCAUGUAAUGGAAUACUACAUAAUUAAGUUGUCCUUUCUGUUUUUGCCAUAUAUUUAGGUUAUUUCAAAGCUGUGCUGCUCGGCCCUUGUGUAUGUACUUGUUAGUGGGUGCUAGGGCACGUAGGGGUGGAGUAGAGGGGCUGUAGGGCAAGCAUACUGUCAGGUCAUCUACUGCCAUACUUCCCUCCAAAGAGGUUUAUGAGCAGUUUAUGAAUGGCCUAUAUUUUUACUGAACAUGUGGUACUGUUACACAUUAAAUUUAUUUGCCAAUCUGACACAAGUCAAAUGUCUCAUCAUGAUUUUAAUUUGUGGUUCUCUGAUGAUUGAACUUUUUUUUUUUUUUUUUUUUAAGUAGGCUCCAUACCCAGCACUGGAGCCCAGUGUGGGGCUUGAACUCAUGACCUCUGAGAUCAAGACCUGAGCUGAGAUCGAGAGUCGGGUGCUUAAUCAGCUAAGCCACCUAGGCACCCUGAACAUAUUUUUACGUAUUCGAGUGGAUCCCCCGGUCCAAUGUAUUUUUAUGUAUCCAUUGGCCAUUUGAGUUUUCACCUCUGUGAAUUAUCAGUUUGUAUCUUUUACUCAUUUUUCUUUUGUACUUUUUCUUACUGAG
This 1369-nucleotide long non-coding RNA is filed under the name Canis lupus familiaris (dog). RNAcentral describes it as "lncRNA (ENSCAFG00805009682.1, ENSCAFG00845022520.1)". Lineage: Eukaryota; Metazoa; Chordata; Mammalia; Carnivora; Canidae. The record is from RNAcentral.